CCUACGGGAGGCAGCAGUGGGGAAUAUUGGGCAAUGGACGAAACUCUGACCCAGCAACGCCGCGUGAAUGAUGAAUGCCUUCGGAUUGUUAAGCUUUUUUUUUAGGGAAGUAGAGAGUGAUGGUACUUUAGUUAUAAGUCUCGCCUAACUAUGUGCCAGCAGCCGCUGUAAUACGUAGGCGGCGAGCGUUAUCCGGAUUGAGUGGGUGUAAAGGGUGCGUAGGUGGAUGGGCAAGUUAGUAGCGAAACUACGAGGCUCAACCUUGGAAGUGCAGCUAAUACUGUUGGACUUGAGUGCAGGAGGGGCAGGCGGAAUUCGUGGUGUAGCGGUGAAAUGCGUAGAUAUCAGGAGGAACACCGACGGCGAAGGCAGCCUGCUGGACUGAAACUGACGUUGAGGCUCGAAAGCGUGGGGAGCAAACAGGAUUAGAUACCCCUGUAGUC
This 443-nucleotide ribosomal RNA is filed under the name uncultured bacterium. RNAcentral describes it as "partial 16S ribosomal RNA". It matches the Rfam family "Bacterial small subunit ribosomal RNA", at positions 338 to 795 of the family's 1533-position model. The record is from RNAcentral.